UCGCGUCCAGCUUGGCUGGCGGCGUCCCGUGCUUGGCACAGUCGUGGCGGUGCUUUGUUACUUCACAUGCCAUCGGGCGUCUUGUUGAGCAUUGGUGUCGCCAAUUGCAGGUGAAGGCGUGUGAGUGGCAUUGGGUUCAUGUGGUUGUGCAGGCUCCCUGUUCUUUGCAGCGAACUGUGCAGCUCUGAUCCUCAUCAUUAGUGUUGCCUCCGCUGACUGUUUUGUGCGGAGACACAGAGAUGGUUCCUGUAUUGCUUACCGAAUUUGAUGGAAUUGUGUCCCUAGAUAUGUCCACUCCGUUUGUUGCACCGUUGGUGUGAGACGGCAUUAAAGCGCUUCCCUAUUGUCCACCCAUGGCCUGCUUUGGCUUGUUCAUGCGGUGGGCAUGGGGUUGGCAGCUAGUUUUCUUGGGUUCGGAACGAUAUGCAGGUGUCGGGCUUUGUCCCUCGUAUGCCUGAUAAGUAUGCAAAUGCAAAUGACCGUCGCUCUCGACUUGGCUUCUCAACAGAAGUUGGGGAUGCCCUUGCGAUGACGACGUCGUUGAGGAAUGC
RNAcentral lists this unclassified non-coding RNA (551 nucleotides) under Cecarria obtusifolia. RNAcentral's name for it is "partial external transcribed spacer". Lineage: Eukaryota; Viridiplantae; Streptophyta; Magnoliopsida; Santalales; Loranthaceae. The record is from RNAcentral.